This 7198-nucleotide long non-coding RNA is filed under the name Lactuca sativa (garden lettuce). Its description in RNAcentral is "long non-coding RNA (LSAT_LNC006194)". The record is from RNAcentral. Lineage: Eukaryota; Viridiplantae; Streptophyta; Magnoliopsida; Asterales; Asteraceae.
GUCAAUACAAAGGAUUUUCGAAGAAAGGGACCAAAGGUGACAAAAUGGGGAACAUGGGAGGCUUGGAAGACAAGAAAAUAAUAAAUUCACGAUAAGAACUAAAUUCACGACGUGGCAAUGAAGCCCACGACGUGGCAUGGGUGUUCCAGAAGAUAAGCAUCGCGACGCGGAGGAUUUCCUUGAAGGAUACGGAUUGCUUGAAGCCCACGACGUGGCGCAACCUGGCCACGACGUGGCGCGGGUUUUUAAGGAUUAUAUAAGUUCUCCUGAUUAUUACGAAAAGGGAGACUUUUGGCAGAAGAAAAAGAGUUCCAGGAGACGAAUAAGAACGAAAGAAAGGUUCUGGAAGAGGGUUUUCAACACCAAAAGAAGUAAAGGUUUAUUUUUAGAACAUGUCUUUCAUUAGUUUUAGCUGUGUUAGUUUAAUUACUAUGAUGAGCAGCUGAAUCUAGCUACUCUUGUUUAGCUAGAUGAAGCUUUGAACUUAUGAAUAGUUAUAUGAUUAUGGAUUAAGCUUAGUUGGUGAAAAUUUGCUUGUGUUUGAUUUGUAUGACCUAGCAUGUUAAUAUUUGUUUAUCUAAUUGCUUAAUUACAUGUUCUGUGUAGCUUAGUGACCAUUAAACUGCAUGAACCUGUUUACCUAAUAAUUUAGUGAACAUUGAAUUGUUAGAGCUAGGAUUGACCAAUCUUAGUUAAUAAUUAGAAUAAAUAAAAGUUUAGCUAUGCUAGAGAACGAGAAUUGUGAUCAUAAUUGCGUUUACACAACAAAUCUUAUAUAGCAUAUUUACAACUAUAAUUAGUUCUGUGUUUAAUUAUGUGUGAACAUACAUGGUUUGACAUGAAUUAGUUAAAUAUUGGUAAGAUAGAACUAAAUUACUAAUAUAAGUAAAAACCAACUUAGUAAUCCGUAAUUGUUAGCUAGCCAUAAGGGAAAAGUGAAUUCAAUCUAAACAAGAGUGUGUGUUUUUACUUAUUGAAUUGGAUUUAAGUUCAUCUGAUCUUGUAAAAUCAGAUAAAAACCUUUAUUAAAUUUGUUAAUAAAUUAGGUUAAUUUAAUAGUAAGUAAAUUAAUUAGAACACCGUUCCCUGUGAUCGACACCCGACUUACCCAAGCUAUACUGUAAUCUGACUAGGUACACUGCCUAUAAGUGCAUAGAUAGUUAAGUUUGUUAGGUUAUAAAUAUUAAAAUUAGUGAGUACUUUUGUGCACAUCAAGUUUUUGGCGCCGUUGCUGGGGAAGCGGCUUAGUUUUUAGUUUAUUUAUUUGCAUUAAAUUAAUCGAUCCUUCUUGUGGAGUCACAGCCACAAAAAGUUAAUUUUUCAGCAAAAUAAAUUUUUUUUUCAAGAAGUCCACGACGUGGUCACAUACUUGCCACGACGUGGACAGGCAAAAAUUUUUAAAAUUUUUUUUAGUUGGUAGUUAGUUUUUCUUAUUUUAGUACAGUUUUACGUUUUAGUUUAGCAAGUUGCAGGAGUUCAUGACCAGAAGCUCAAACACACACUUGGUGCCACCACUGGAAGACCCUGAAUCUGCACUUCGCAAGAAAAAGACGCCCUUGCAAGAAUUGAAGUCAGCCUUUUCUAGGAAGUCGGGAAAGAAGACAGGAGAGUCCAGCUCAUCAGCGAAGCACAAGAGCAAUCUUGAGCACUUGGAUCACACACCCGUGCUAGAAAGCGAGUCCGAAAGCGAUACCGAGCCAGAAUUUGAAGAACACACAAGUGAACCCGAGAACGAGCCAAGGAACGAGAUGGAAGCGAUUGAAGAAAUGUCCAUGGGAGCAUAAAAAAAGCGGAUCCGAGAUGAUAUGGGUCCUGGGCUAGUCCAACCCGCAAUUCCUGCCACUGCCACAUUUGAGCUGAAGGGACACAUAUUGACAGCACUGAAGGACAUCCCAUUUUUCGGGAAGGAUCAUGAGGAUGCUUUUAAGCAUCUAGACGAAGUCAACGACAUUGCAGAUUACUUCAAUAUCCCAAAUGUCACCAGGAAUACAGUCUUGCUUAGGAUGCUUCCCAUCACUUUCAAAGGAGCUGCUAAGGAGUGGUUAAAAGCACUCCCACCAGGUACAAUCACCACUUGGGCUCAAAUGCGUGAGCAAUUCCUGGACCAGUUCUGCCCGCCAUCCAAGAUAGCCAAACUCAAGAAGGCGAUAGCCAACUUUGAGCAACAACCGGGGGAGUCACUAUACGAAGCAUGGGAGCGGUACAAGGGCUUACUCAGAAAUUGCCCUCAACAUGACCUAAAUGUGCAGCAAGAGAUGUCAAUCUUUUAUGAUGGGGUCAAUGUAAUGACAAGACAACUCCUUGAUUCUCAAGGACCGUUGACAAAGAAAAAUCCAAGGGAAGUCAAGGAGCUCAUCGAAGAAUUCGCGAAACACUCCCACGAAUACCAUAACCCGAGGCAAGACGGAAGUAAAAGCGGUGGAGGGGCCCAAACUGAAGACAUUGCAGCUGUCAUGGCCAUGCUAAAUAACAUGGAUCGCCGGAUAACACAAAUGGACCAGUCGAUACAUGCCAUAAGAGUGGGGUGCGAGCGAUGCAGUGGUCCACACUUGACCAAGGACUGCAAUAUGGAUGAGUUUGGGAACAGAAAAGCUCAAGUGUGCUACUCUAGUGGGGAUAAGUUUGAUGACGACUGGAGGAAACCAAAGAGGGAGUGGCUGCCAUAUGAAGAGUAUAAAAAGCAAAAAGAAGAGAAGUAUAGGCAGAUCUGUCGAGGCUUUUACCAAAAGGAGCAGCCACCAAUCGAGAAGAAACCCGACCUAGAGACCAUUUUGAUGAAGUUUAUGGAGACUUCGGAAAAGAGACAUGAUGCCACGGAUUCCGCCAUCAUGGAACAACAAACAAUGAUAAAAAACCAGCAAGCCUCCAUCCAUAACCUUGAAGUACAAUUUGGUCAACUAGCCAUUUUAGUCCACGAAAAAUUGUCUCCGAAGAAUCCCGAAGUAAAAGCCCAAUCUCACGUAAUGGCCAUCGAUACUGAAGAAGAUACAAUAUCCGAGUUCCUGGAGGCGUUGGAAGAACAACCGCAGCAGCCCAAGAAAUCAAGGAUCAAAAACAGAGAGAAUGUUGAACCAGGCUCCCCCCCCCCCNCGACGUGGCGCAAGUCUGAGCAAAAAUCUUUUGAGCCUAUUCCAGAUUAUCAUCCACCUAUGCCAUUUCCCACCCGUGCAGCACUUAGUCAACUGGAGAAGGAACAUUUAGAGUUUGUGAAGCAUGUGAAAGGGAUUCCAAUUAAUACUCCCUUUGUUGAGUCCUUAUCCAAAGCUUCCGAGAACCAGAAAUUACUGCAAGACUUGAUAGAUACGCGAAGGCAAUUAAAGAAACAGUCUACAGUGAUUCUAAGUGAGCAAAUUUCAAAAGUUGUGUUGGGAGAAACACCAGAAAAGAUGGGGGAUCCUGGACGCCUCACUCUUCCAUGCGAGUUUGGGAAUAAAAUGAAGGUUAAUGCUUUAGCCGAUUCCGGGGCUAGCAUUAAUCUAAUGCCUUUUUCAUUUUAUCAAAAAUUGGAGAUUCAGAAGAUGAAGGCUACAAAAAUGAAGAUUCACAUGGCGAACCGUUCGGUGACACAACCCCGAGGCAUAGUGGAGGAUAUUUUGGUGAAAAUCGGAAAAUUUGUUUUUCCAAUAGAUUUUGUAGUCUUGGACAUGAAAGAAGACACGGAUGUUCCGAUAAUCCUUGGUCGACCAUUGCUUAACACUGCUGGUGCCCUGGUUGAUAUCCGCAAGUCCAAGCUCACUUUGAGGGUUGGGGAUGAGCAAGAAGUCUUCGGGAUAAGAAAUAACUUUCAAGAAGAUAAAGAAGAGGUGUUCACGAUUAACGAAGAGAAUGAACUAGAAGAGUUGGAAAAGCUUAUGGAAGAAGAGAUGAGGGUAGUUCAUCAAGACAAGAGGACAAAACCAAGGGCAUCUGUUCCGUAUUUGAUUGAAGUCAUAGCCUACAAGAACCCACCUUCUUGGGUGAGCAAAGAGGACAAGGAAAUGACAAGUGAUGAAGAGGAAGUCACUUCCAAAGUAACAAGGCCGGUGGUGAAGGAAGAGGGGAACACUAUGGAGAGCAAGGAACACACAAAGGGCACAAAACGAAAGCAUGAAGAAGAUGGAAAAACUAAAAAAGAAAAUUCAAAGAAGGCGUAUAAAAGGAGAGUUCAAGCUUAUAAACGGCGGUUCAAGGAACAAAAGAUCCUGGUGAUAGACUCUUCCGAGGAGUCAACGUAGAAGGCACGGAGUCCAGCUCAAGACUCCAAGAAAAAGAAGCGCUUCUCGGGAGGCAACCCGCGUUUGGUUUGAAUUUUUUCUNUUAUUUUCUUUUUAAUUAGGAAAGACAUCAAUUCAUCAUCUAAAAAACCGGUAAUAAGCAGAGAAAUAGCUGUAGGGGACUUUAAAUAAUGAAUGAUUUGCAAAGUAAUUAAUUAAUUAGAUGAAUAUUAUUAAAAUUUGGCAUCUGACAGCUCCCACGACGUGGGCAUAGCCAACCACGUCAUGGGAUUAACUAUAAUUCACGAUCUUAGGAAAUUUAAGGUCCACGACGUGGGCAGAGCCCGCCACGUCGUGUCCUUUAAAAAUCAGGGGAGGACCAAUCGCUUAAAACCCUUUGAACGAGAAAACCCUUAUCCCCCACUUGGAAGACUGCCGCACUCACGGGAACAUCACGACCCUACUGCCAAUUUCUUAUUAUAUUUCCAAAUUCAUUGCAAGAUCUUGCUAAUUACUCCAUUUGGUAUGUGUUUAACUCAUUAUUUUGCAAUUACUUCUUCCAAUUUCAAGUUUUCGUGAUUAGGGUUUGAAUGAUUCACGAAAUUGGUUGAAUCUAGUUUGCAUGUUAGUUAAAAGUCCAUAGGAACAAACCCCAAGAACUAUUUUUAUGGAAAUCGCACGUAAACAUAACCGAUUCAGAAUCUGGGUUCGACGUGACCCACGACGUGGCGCAUCCUGGCCACGUCGUGACUUCUGGCAGACCAUUAAUAUAUGUUUUAAUGUGUUCUUCGUUGCUGCUUUGCUUUGCUUUUGUUUGCAGAAUGGGACCACGACGAGCUGUCCAGCAGGAAGAGGACCCGAUUGAUGUAGCAAGCAUACAUCCUCUAUACCACUUUCCUCAAAACAUUCCCCGAACAUUGCUAACAACCGACGAGAAUCGGCUUGGAUGGUUAUACAAUAGGGAGUUUGCAAUAGCCCCAAUUAUUGAUUGGGGAUGGCUUGGUAGAAUGGGAAUGGUAGUGGAGCUAGACUGUUAUUGGUCGAAGACUUAUGUUGGAGAUCAAUUUUCGUUCACUUGUCACGGGUGGAGGAAUCUAUUCGCCAUUCAAGAACCCGUGUUCCGGGAAUUGUCGGUAGAAUUUUUUUCUACCGUUUGUUUUGAAGAGCGCACCCUUGAUGUCACCUACAAUAGGGCACUUGUGUUUCGUCUUGGAGGUGUAUAUCGUGAGUGUAGUCUUCGGGAGUUUGCUUGGCGUAUGGGACUCUAUACGGAAGUGGAGACGCAAUCUCCAUUUUUUAUUCCUUUCUUGCUUGGAUGUGUGCGGGAUUUUACUCCAGGUACUUUGGAUGUGCAGUUUUGGCGGGGCAUUUCUAACCAUGAGUACAACACUCGUGACUCGAGUGAGUCACAAAUACGGAAUCCUGUGUUCCGAUUUUUGCACCGCCUUAUCACGUUUUCAAUCAAUCACAAGCAUCAUGGUGAUAAGGUCCCCAUCCAGAAUCUAUUUUAUUUAUGGACACUUAUUACCCCGGGGGUUUGUUGUGAUCUGCCUUAUAUGUUGGCAAGGUUUAUGGGGAAGAAAGCGGCCAAUUCUAGGCCUGGGAGCCCGAUUACUGGGGGGCAUUUGGUUACUCGCCUGGCUAGGUCAUAUCAAAUUUUGACCCCUGACUUUGUGAGGAAUCUCACUCGAUUCCCGGACACAGACUUGACCAUUCAAGUCCUGGGUGUGAUGCGCGCGGUGGUGAAUAUCGAGGGUCGCUUUGUUAUACCACCGAUCGAUGACGAACAGGAGGAAGUGCAGCCGGGACAGCAGCCACCAGCUAGGCCGAGGCGUCGGAAUGUGCGGGCUAGAGGUGAGGUCGAACGAGAGCGUGCUGCUUCGCAGUAUGUGCAAGGAGUGCCCACCGACCCUUUUCAGAGUCGGGUGGGAACAUAUUUGGAUAAUCUACGAGGUCAUGCUAUUUACCAUACCCAGCUUACUGAGGGUAUCUAUUCACAUUUGGGUGUGACCCGACCACCUUCUAUGCCACCACAAUAUCCCUAUUUUCCGACAUGGGAGGAGCUAUGGCGUCCACAAGAUGAUGGAGCAGGGCCGAGUGGAGCACAAGAUCAAGAUGAUGAUUGAUUUUAUUUCUUUUGUUCUGUUUUUGAGUAGUUUUUUUUNNNNNNNNNNNNNNNNNNNNNNNNNNNNNNNNNNNNNNNNNNNNNNNNNNNNNNNNNNNNNNNNNNNNNNNNNNNNNNNNNNNNNNNNNNNNNNNNNNNNNNNNNNNNNNNNNNNNNNNNNNNNNNNNNNNNNNNNNNNNNNNNNNNNNNNNNNNNNNNNNNNNNNNNNNNNNGGGGGGUACUUUAGGAGAAUUUUAGACACAAAUGCAUGCGUUGAGGUUUUGGCAUAAUGGCUGAACUAGAGUCGGAUUGUUCUGUGUAGUUUUAGUAAUUAAGAAUUAAGUUGAAAUUUGCUUGAGGGCAAGCAAAGCCUAAGUGUGGGGUAUUUUGAUAUUGCCAUAUUUACACUUAUUUUUAGGCAGUAUUUAAGUACAUUUUUAUUAAUAAAUUGAUAAUAUGUUUAGAAUAAUGAUACUUAUGAGUUUAAAUUGUUAUUUUCAGUCAAUACAAAGGAUUUUCGAAGAAAGGGACCAAAGGUGACAAAAUGGGGAACAUGGGAGGCUUGGAAGACAAGAAAAUAAUAAAUUCACGAUAAGAGCUAAAUUCACGACGUGGCGAUGAAGCCCACGACGUGGCACGGGUGUUCCAGAAGAUAAGCAUCGCGACGCGGAGGAUUUCCUUGAAGGAUACGGAUUGCUUGAAGCCCACGACGUGGCGCAACCUGGCCACGACGUGGCGCGAGUUUUUAAGGAUUAUAUAAGUUCUCCUGAUUAUUACGAAAAGGGAGACUUUUGGCAGAAGAAAAAGAGUUCCAGGAGACGAAUAAGAACGAAAGAAAGGUUCUGGAAGAGGGUUUUCAACACCAAAAGAAGUAAAGGUUUAUUUUUAGAACAUGUCUUUC